GGGUGCGAGGCGCAGAGGGGCGCCACGCAGGAGUCGCGAAGGUCGGGCCGCCUCG
This 55-nucleotide non-coding RNA is filed under the name Pseudacidovorax intermedius. RNAcentral describes it as "Li+-I sequence". It matches the Rfam family "nhaA-I RNA". From Rfam's summary of the family: Acidobacteria, Alphaproteobacteria, Betaproteobacteria and Gammaproteobacteria, Verrucomicrobia, cand. division NC10. Downstream gene The record is from Rfam by way of RNAcentral. Lineage: Bacteria; Pseudomonadati; Pseudomonadota; Betaproteobacteria; Burkholderiales; Comamonadaceae.